Molecule: ribosomal RNA, 495 nt
Filed under: uncultured bacterium
Lineage: Bacteria
Description: partial 16S ribosomal RNA
Rfam family: Bacterial small subunit ribosomal RNA
Source: RNAcentral
GACGAACGCUGGCGGCGCGCCUAAUACAUGCAAGUAGAACGCGGAAGGAGGCGCUCGCUUCUCUGGAUCAGUUGCGAACGUGUGAGUAACGCGUAGGUAACCUGCCUGGUAGCGGGGGAACACUAUUGGAAACGAUAGCUAAUACGUCAUAAGACUAGAUGUAGUAUGACAUUUUCUUAAAAGGUGCAAUUGCAUCACUACUGGAUGGACCUGCGUUGUAUUAGCUAGUUGGUGGUGUAACGGCUCAACAAGGCUACGAUAGAUAGCCGACCGGAGAGAGUGGACGGUCAAACUGGGAAUGGGACACGGCCCAGACCCCUGAGGGAGGCAGCAGGAGGGAAUGUUGGGCAAUGGACGGAAGUCGGAACGAUGAACGCCGCGUGAAUGAAGGAGGGUUUCGGAUCGGAAAGCGCAGUUGUAUGAGGAGAAAGAGUAUGAGAGUGGAAAGUUCACAAUGUGACGGUAGCUGACCAGAAAGGGACGGCUAACUACGUG